GCUUGCGUGGCUCAGUGGUAGAGUACUCCCUUGGUAAGGGAGAGGUCACGGGUUCAAUUCCCGUCGCAAGCUCCA
This 75-nucleotide transfer RNA is filed under the name Bacteriovorax sp. BSW11_IV. Its description in RNAcentral is "tRNA-Thr". It matches the Rfam family "tRNA". From Rfam's summary of the family: Transfer RNA (tRNA) molecules are approximately 80 nucleotides in length. Their secondary structure includes four short double-helical elements and three loops (D, anti-codon, and T loops). The record is from RNAcentral. Lineage: Bacteria; Pseudomonadati; Bdellovibrionota; Bacteriovoracia; Bacteriovoracales; Bacteriovoracaceae.